UGAGUAACCUGCCCUUAACUCUGGGAUAAGCCUGGGAAACUGGGUCUAAUACCGGAUAUGACUCCUCAUCGCAUGGUGGGGGGUGGAAGGCUUUUUGUGGUUUUGGAUGGACUCGCGGCCUAUCAGCUUGUUGGUGAGGUAAUGGCUUACCAAGGCGACGACGGGUAGCCGGCCUGAGAGGGUGACCGGCCACACUGGGACUGAGACACGGCCCAGACUCCUACGGGAGGCAG
Molecule: ribosomal RNA, 233 nt
Filed under: uncultured bacterium
Lineage: Bacteria
Description: partial 16S ribosomal RNA
Rfam family: Bacterial small subunit ribosomal RNA
Source: RNAcentral